Pangasius djambal is the source of this 73-nucleotide non-coding RNA. Lineage: Eukaryota; Metazoa; Chordata; Actinopteri; Siluriformes; Pangasiidae. The record is from the annotation of a GenBank genome assembly.
GCAGGGGUGGCUCAGUGGUUGAGGUUCUGGUUUACUGAUCAGAAGGUUGGGGGUUCAAGCCCCAGCACUAUCA